CAACCCUCAAGCGCUGUUUCGCUUGGAGUUGGGGCUCUUGCAGCGAGUACCUCCAGUGCUUUGCAAGCCCCGAAAUUCAGCGGCGAGCCCGCCGGCACACCGAGCGCAGUAAAUAUUACUUCUCGUUCAGGGCGUGCGGCGCGGCGCAGCCGGACCUUCUAAAACUUUCCAA
RNAcentral lists this unclassified non-coding RNA (172 nucleotides) under uncultured Phaeoacremonium. Its description in RNAcentral is "sequence contains ITS2". The record is from RNAcentral. Lineage: Eukaryota; Fungi; Ascomycota; Sordariomycetes.